ACUCCUAGAAUCAGCUUCCAAUCAUUGUUGUCACAUCGUGAGUGACAGGUGUCUUGACCAGCCCCCUUGAUUUACUGUCCAGUUGGGCUAAAUUAAUUCAGCCCAGUCCACUGACUUUUGGCCAAUGACAGUGCGUGGAAGUACAGUGAGGGCCCGCCUGCUGUUACUGUAGUGAGAGAGUGAGUGUUGAGUUUUGAGAAUUGCGUUAGCAUCAUGCCGAACGAGGUGGAUUAUUUUAAAUGCAGUCUAUCGAGCGGGACCUCAUCCAGAAAUCAUCUUACUUAAAUGACUUGGUGAUUAACCUGUUUGCAUCCCAGAAAGGCCGUUGAUGUUAGCUUCUCAUAAAAUAAGGACUGGGGGCAUUCUGCAUCUCUGUUGAACAGGAGAGAGGAAGAAGAGGGGAUGAUGCAGAAGAUAGACAGCAGUACUGGCAAAGAUUUCAAUCACAGGCAAUGGAUCCAUAUUUGGAUGGCCUCAUUGCCCAUCUCGAGAGACCUUUCUGUGAGGUUGGAGUCGUGGCUGCAUUUGGGAUACUCGGUCCACAAGCAGCUACACUACCUGACGACACUGCACAUACAAAACUGAGGAUACUGCUGGAGAAGUUUUGUUUUUUCAUGGAUCUUCUGAUGAUUCCCACCCCUAUGAGCAUAUUGUUGUUUAGCGCCUGUAUGUUGAUGAGAGAUCAAGGCUUGAAAAUUCUGCAGUGAGUUACCUAUUUCAAACUCUGACUUUCAAUGACACACUUUUACAAUUUUCUUGUAAAAUAAAUAAACAAAUAAAUAAAUGGAUCUGACUUUAUAAUUUUCUGACAUCCAUCAACUGUCCACCCA
Long non-coding RNA from Epinephelus fuscoguttatus (brown-marbled grouper), 830 nucleotides. RefSeq lists it as uncharacterized. The record is from RefSeq and is a predicted model, not a curated record. NCBI's taxonomy places the organism in Eukaryota, Metazoa, Chordata, Actinopteri, Perciformes, Serranidae. The transcript is spliced from 3 exons.